This 447-nucleotide ribosomal RNA is filed under the name Mycoplasma putrefaciens KS1. RNAcentral's name for it is "bacterial LSU rRNA". It matches the Rfam family "Bacterial large subunit ribosomal RNA", at positions 1438 to 1893 of the family's 2925-position model. The record is from RNAcentral. Lineage: Bacteria; Bacillati; Mycoplasmatota; Mollicutes; Mycoplasmatales; Mycoplasmataceae.
CCUGUACCAGUUAGUUAGUGAUGGAGUGACGAAGAAGGAUAGUGUAUCCCGAGGAUUGGUUGUCUCGGGCUAAGCACAAAGACGGUAACAUUGGCAAAUCCGUGUUAUUUAACGUUGAAGUGUGAUGGGGAGUGAACGGUUCGCCUAGUAACGAAGUAUAUGACUCCACGCUUCCAAGAAAAGCUUCUAACUUAAUAACUAAUUGCCUGUACCUAGAACGAACACACGUGGUCAAGGAGAAAAUCCUAAGGCAAGCGAGAUAACUGUAGCUAAGGAACUCUGCAAAAUAACUCCGUAACUUCGGAAGAAGGAGUGCUCAUCUUUGAUGAGCCGCAGUGAAGAGGGAGGGGCAACUGUUUAACAAAAACACAGCUCUCUGCUAAGUCGCAAGACGAUGUAUAGGGGGUGACACCUGCCCAGUGCCGGAAGGUUAAAAGGAGAAGUCAG